AAACGGGUGCUAAUACCGCAUAGGAAGUUUGUUCGCAUGAACAAACUUAGAAAGAUGGCUCUGCUAUCACUUAUCGAUGGCCUUGCGGUGCAUUAACUAGUUGGCGAGGUAACGGCUCACCAAGGUGAUGAUGCAUAGCCGACCUGAGAGGGUAAUCGGCCACAUUGGGACUGAGACACGGCCCAAACUCCUACGGGAGGGCAGCAGCU
Molecule: ribosomal RNA, 209 nt
Filed under: uncultured Aerococcus sp.
Lineage: Bacteria; Bacillati; Bacillota; Bacilli; Lactobacillales; Aerococcaceae
Description: partial 16S ribosomal RNA
Rfam family: Bacterial small subunit ribosomal RNA
Source: RNAcentral